UGGUGGAGCGAUUUGUCUGGUUUAUUCCGAUAACGAACGAGACCUCUGGUGUGUGUUUGGCUUGAGUCGGACAGGGUUUAUGACGCUGGACGGCUGGGCAGUCACGCGCGACGGGCAGCGGCAAGCUGCGGGAAGCGAGGCAAUAACA
Molecule: ribosomal RNA, 148 nt
Filed under: uncultured eukaryote
Lineage: Eukaryota
Description: partial 18S ribosomal RNA
Rfam family: Eukaryotic small subunit ribosomal RNA
Source: RNAcentral